Molecule: transfer RNA, 87 nt
Filed under: Acidobacteriota bacterium
Lineage: Bacteria; Pseudomonadati; Acidobacteriota
Also listed under: 1 other name
Description: Acidobacteria bacterium tRNA-Ser
Rfam family: tRNA
About the family: Transfer RNA (tRNA) molecules are approximately 80 nucleotides in length. Their secondary structure includes four short double-helical elements and three loops (D, anti-codon, and T loops).
Source: RNAcentral
GGAAGGGUAGCCUAACUGGUAAGGCAGUAGUCUUGAACACUACCGCGCACUUGUCGCUUGCAGGUUCAAGUCCUGUCCCUUCCGCCA